This 245-nucleotide unclassified non-coding RNA is filed under the name Hevea brasiliensis (rubber tree). Lineage: Eukaryota; Viridiplantae; Streptophyta; Magnoliopsida; Malpighiales; Euphorbiaceae. The record is from RNAcentral.
GUUUUUGGAGCUGGUUUAGAUUGACAUUCAUAGCAUUCUGUUUUACCUUUCACAUGUACCGUGACCUGGCCAAGGAAGCCUGUAGUCCCACUUUCAACUAAUGGGACACCAGAUGCCAAACAAAGGCGAUUCACAUGUCGCCUAGCAUCUAGAUUGUCAAGACCAUUAAGCACAACAUUGAAUUGCUUGAAAAAAUCCACAUUGAACUCUGGAUCUUUUACAUUUGCAUGGUAUGGUGUAAUUUU